UACGUAGGGUGCAAGCGUUUAUCCGGAAUUAUUGGGCGUAAAGAGCUCGUAGGCGGUUUGUCGCGUCUGCUGUGAAAACUGGGGGCUCAACCCCCAGCCUGCAGUGGGUACGGGCAGACUAGAGUGCGGUAGGGGAGAUUGGAAUUCCUGGUGUAGCGGUGGAAUGCGCAGAUAUCAGGAGGAACACCGAUGGCGGAAGGCAGAUCUCUG
This 210-nucleotide ribosomal RNA is filed under the name uncultured bacterium. RNAcentral describes it as "partial 16S ribosomal RNA". It matches the Rfam family "Bacterial small subunit ribosomal RNA", at positions 524 to 731 of the family's 1533-position model. The record is from RNAcentral.